AUUUGGAGAGGAUGCUUUUGGCGCGGCGCCGUCCGAGUUCCUUGGAACAGGACGCCACAGAGGGUGAGAGCCCCGUACGGACGGACGCCUAGCCUCUACAAAGCUCCUUCGACGAGUCGAGUAGUUUGGGAAUGCUGCUCAAAAUGGGAGGUAAAUUUCUUCUAAAGCUAAAUACCGGCCAGAGACCGAUAGCGCACAAGUAGAGUGAUCGAAAGAUGAAAAGCACUUUGAAAAGAGGGUUAAAAAGUACGUGAAAUUGUUGAAAGGGAAGCGCCUGUGACCAGACUUGCGCCCCGUGGACCAUCCGGCGUUCUCGCCGGUGCACUCUGCGGGGCGCAGGCCAGCAUCGGUUCUCCUAGGGGGAUAAAGGCCGCGGGAACGUAGCUCCUUCGGGAGUGUUAUAGCCCGCGGUGGCAUGCCCCUGGGGGGACCGAGGACCGCGCUUCGGCAAGGAUGCUGGCGUAAUGGUCACCAGCGACCCGUCUUGAAACACGGACCAAGGAGUCAAGCAUUGGGGCGAGUGUAUGGGUGCCAAACCCGCACGCGAAAUGAAAGUAAACGCAGGUGAGAGCUUCGGCGCAUCAUCGACCGAUCCUGAUGUCUUCGGAUGGAUUUGAGUAAGAGCCUUACCGCUUGGACCCGAAAGAUGGUGAACUAUGCCUGAAUAGGGUGAAGCCAGAGGAAACUCUGGUGGAGGCUCGCAGCGGUUCUGACGUGCAAAUCGAUCGUCAAAUUUGGGCAUGGGGGCGAAAGACUAAUCG
This 761-nucleotide ribosomal RNA is filed under the name Ophiostoma sp. PRO-2010b. RNAcentral's name for it is "eukaryotic LSU rRNA". It matches the Rfam family "Eukaryotic large subunit ribosomal RNA", at positions 148 to 937 of the family's 3401-position model. Lineage: Eukaryota; Fungi; Ascomycota; Sordariomycetes; Ophiostomatales; Ophiostomataceae. The record is from RNAcentral.